This 502-nucleotide long non-coding RNA is filed under the name Venturia canescens. RNAcentral's name for it is "uncharacterized LOC122414641". Lineage: Eukaryota; Metazoa; Arthropoda; Insecta; Hymenoptera; Ichneumonidae. The record is from RNAcentral.
GGAGGAGCGUCUAAACGAGGAGCAAUUAGACGCUAGACGCUUCGGCCUAUGGUUUCAACAGCUGAUGGAGUGUGAUUCGGGGUACUCGUCAGUUGACUCGUCAGCUGACUCGUUAUUGGCGUACCGCGAUUAGUACCAGAUAUGCAAACGGGCGGGGGAAGAACGCGCAAUACACAGGGGAAUGAGACUUUCGGGGAUGUGCAACCCCCGGGAGGGCGGAUCAUCAUCACACACGAUACAGCCCGUUAUUUCAAACGUUUUCAACUACGUGGUCGGGAGAUAACAUUGCGUAUCCGCCAACCUCACGCUGGUACAAACGUGACAGCAUGGCUUGAAGGAGCAUUCCGCGAUCUUCUGACGCAUCUCACGAGUCACUGUGAGGGUGGUGACUACGCGGGGAUCUCGUUCUCCGCGAGCAGCAUAGCGCACGGCCCCGUUUGGCUUUCAUUGCGUCCUGUCCGCGUCUAUACAUUUGUAGAUAUCUGGCAAUUAAUAACAAACA